RNA transcript from Phalaenopsis equestris, 5961 nucleotides. It is a transcript of the gene named DExH-box ATP-dependent RNA helicase DExH3, with no coding region annotated. The record is from RefSeq and is a predicted model, not a curated record. Lineage: Eukaryota; Viridiplantae; Streptophyta; Magnoliopsida; Asparagales; Orchidaceae. The transcript has 21 exons.
UUCUCCAAACUCGGCGGAGCAUCCCUCUGUUACCUUAUUCUUCCACCUCUGUUAUAUCUCUGGGACAGUACUAAAUUUUGUGCCGACGAAGGUAGGAUGGGAUUUAAAAGUCACUGGCGGGGGACACUGGCUGGGGGGUAGGAACGGAGGAAGACGAUGCCCUGCGCUUCAUUUCUCAGUUGCUCCCUCUGGAUGCGCGCUCGGAUGACUACGAGCCUUGCCUCCUCCGCUACUCUUCGCGUGCCGUCUAUCUUUUACCGGAACCGUAGAAAUCCAAACUCUUUUACGGCCGAAGCAACGCCCAUGAAGGCUGGGAUAUAUGUGCCGCCAAUCCAUCGUUUGCGGUCGGUUAUAGCUUCGGCGAAUGGGAGCGUUGUCACCACCUCGCGGUCUGCCGACAAAGAUUGGCGCGACUCUCUCGGACAGUCUUUGGCGAUUGAAGCUGACAGAUUUAACUAUUACCGGCACCAGAGCUCACACUACUCAAGGUAUGCAUAUGAGGAUUUUUCGGAAGAUGAGUCUGAUCGGGAUUUGGACGCGUCUUCAACUUCAAGCAAGGGUACCUCUAGUUUAGAGAAUGUUGACGAGUGGAAAUGGAAAUUCAGUAUGCUUCUUCGUAAUGAGUUUGAGCAAGAGUUGGUAUCAAGGGAAAGGAAGGAUAGACGCGACUAUGAGCAUAUUGCAGCAAAUGCUGAAAGAAUGGGAUUGUAUAGCCGUCAAUAUGCAAAGGUUGUUGUCUUUAGCAAGCUUCCAUUGCCGAAUUACCGACCUGACCUCGAUGAAAAGCGGCCCCAAAGGGAGGUGUCAAUUCCUAUUGGGUUGCAAAGGGAAGUGGAUUCUUUGCUCACAGACUAUCUUACUCGAAAGAGAGCUAAUCCAGAAAGCUUUCCGAGUACUGGCUUUUCAAGGUCUAGCAGCGCUGAUAGUUUUGCUACUGAUGAUGGUCUCUUUGAGCAGCAGGAUAAUCAAACGUCCACCUCUGUGGUAAUGGAAAAAAUGCUAAGACGGAGGAGCUUGCAGCUGCGAAAUCAACAAGCUGCUUGGCAGGAAUCUCCAGAGGGCCUAAAGAUGCUUGAAUUUCGUAGAAGUCUCCCAUCUUACAAAGAAAAGGAGGCAUUGUUGGAGGCCAUUUCUCGAAAUCAGGUUGUUGUCAUUUCAGGUGAGACAGGCUGCGGUAAGACAACACAACUACCUCAGUAUGUUCUAGAAUCUGAGAUUGCUAAUGCUCGAGGCGCGACAUGUAGUAUCAUUUGCACUCAGCCUAGACGUAUAUCUGCCAUGGCUGUAGCUGAAAGAGUUGCAGCAGAACGAGGGGAAAAUUUGGGUGAAUCUGUUGGUUAUAAGGUUCGGCUAGAAGGUAUUAAGGGGAGGGAUACUCGCCUUCUUUUCUGUACGACAGGAAUUUUGUUGAGGAGAUUGCUUGUUGACCGAAAUUUGAAAGGUGUUACGCAUGUGUUUGUAGAUGAGAUUCAUGAACGUGGAAUGAAUGAAGAUUUUCUUCUUGUCGUCCUGAAAGACCUACUGCCUCGUAGACCAGAGCUCAAGUUGAUUUUGAUGAGUGCUACUCUGAAUGCUGAGCUUUUUUCUUCAUAUUUUUCUGGGUCGCCCAUGAUGCAUAUACCUGGUUUUACAUAUCCUGUUCGGACUCACUUUUUAGAGAAUGUUCUAGAAGUUAUUGGACACAGGCUGACUCCGUACAAUCAAAUUGAUGACUAUGGACAAGACAAAAGUUGGAAAAUGCAGAAGCAGGCUCUUAGGAAAAGGAAGAGCCAAAUUGCUUCUGCUGUUGAAGAUGCUCUUGAAGCUGCUGAUUUUCGAGAUUAUAGCUCUAGAACUCGUGAGUCACUAGCCUGCUGGAACCCUGAUUCUAUUGGUUUCAAUCUCAUAGAGAGUGUCCUAGUCCAUAUAUGUCAAAAGGAAAGGCCAGGUGCUAUUCUGGUUUUCAUGACUGGUUGGGAUGAUAUUAAUUCACUUAAAGAACAGCUUCAAUCUCAUCCACUACUUGGAGAUCCUAGCAAAGUUUUAAUUCUCCCAUGCCAUGGGUCCAUGGCUAGCUCUGAACAGAGAUUAAUAUUUGAUAAGCCACAAAACGGAGCGAGGAAAAUAGUUCUUGCUACAAACAUGGCUGAGACAAGUAUCACAAUCAAUGAUGUUGUUUUUGUUGUUGAUUGUGGAAAGGCAAAAGAGACUUCGUAUGAUGCGUUGAACAAUACCCCAUGUUUGCUCCCAACAUGGAUCUCCAAGGCUUCUGCUCGACAGAGAAGAGGAAGAGCUGGGCGCGUCCAGCCCGGGGAAUGUUACCAUCUUUAUCCAAAAUGCGUGUAUGAGGUUUUUGCAGACUACCAAUUACCAGAACUUCUAAGAACACCUUUACAGUCUCUUUGUUUGCAAAUCAAAAGCCUCAGGCUUGGAAGCAUAUCAGAAUUCUUGUCUAGAGCUUUGCAAUCUCCUGAAACAUUAUCUGUUCAAAAUGCUAUUGAAUAUCUGAAAGUUAUUGGUGCGUUAGAUGAGAAGCAGGAGCUAACCAUUCUAGGACGGCACCUGGCUAUGCUGCCAGUUGAACCAAAACUUGGGAAGAUGCUCAUCUUUGGAGCUAUUUUCAAAUGCCUGGAUCCCAUAUUGACUGUUGUUGCUGGUCUAAGUGUUAGAGAUCCUUUCAUUACUCCAUUUGACAAGAAGGAUCUUGCAGAUUCUGCAAAAUCUCAAUUUUCUUGCCGGGAUUAUAGUGAUCAUCUUGCACUUAUUCGGGCCUAUGAGGGUUGGAAGGAUGCUGAAAGGGAUCAUUCUGGAUAUGAUUACUGCUGGAAGAAUUUUCUUUCUGUACAGACUUUGAAGGCAAUUGAUUCUCUUAGAAAGCAGUUCCAUUUUCUGCUUAAGGAUGCUGGCCUUGUUGAUGAGAACUUAAUGUCAUUCAACAUUUGGUGUCGUGACGAGAAUCUUGUCCGGGCAGUUAUCUGUGCUGGCCUUUUUCCUGGAAUUUGUUCAGUUGUGAACAAGGAGAGAUCCAUAGCUUUGAAAACUAUGGAGGAUGGACAAGUCAUGCUUUAUUCUAGCUCUGUUAAUGGAAAGGAAGCUAAAAUUCCUUAUCCGUGGUUAGUUUUUAACGAGAAAGUGAAGGUGAACUCUGUCUUCCUUAGGGAUUCAACCGCAAUUUCUGACUCGGUAUUACUGCUAUUUGGAGGGAAUAUUUGCAGGGGUGGACUUGAUGGACAUUUAAAAAUGUUAGGUGGCUACCUUGAAUUCUUCAUGAAGCCAGAUUUGGCAUAUACCUUUGUAACUCUUAAGAAAGAGCUGGAGGAGCUGAUUCUGAACAAGCUUCAAAACCCUAGAAUGGAUAUAGAAUCCAGGGAGGAGCUGCUGCAUGCAACUCGCUUGCUCGUUACCGAUGAUCCAUGCAGUGGGCAGUUUGUAUUUGGUCGUCAGGAGCUUAAGCCCAAAAAAAUGAAAAAUCUACUUGCAACAAGUUUGGGAGAAGGUGGUGGCGGUGGCGGUGGCGAUAAUCCCAAGAGCCAACUUCAGACGUUGCUUACAAGAGCUGGGCAUGACAACCCAACCUACAAAAUGAAGCAGUUGAAGGGCAAUCAGUUUAGAGCAACGGUUGAGUUCAAUGGGAUGCAAUUCAUCAGCCAGCCCUGUGGAAACAAAAAACUAGCGGAGAAAAAUGCUGCUUCUGAGGCAUUGGAUUGGCUGAUAGGUGGAGCCUCAUCAGACUUUCGGGACUUUGAUCAAAUGUCCAUGGCCCUUAAGAAGAGCAAGAAGCAGCAUCAUAGGAGAACAUGAAUCUGGAACCGGAAUAUGUAACUGCCUUCUCAUGCCAUUGUUGCCUGUGAAAGCAUUGUCCGGUGAUGCAAUCUGGUCCACCUCCACUGCACUUAAUGGAGAUUGAAGCCCUCAUAGACUUUGUGGAAGGCUGUCAUGAUUUUUCCUGUCCCGGUCUCAUGAUGAUCAGCUAUAUAUUAUAAAGUCAGAUCAUGUUGUCAGGAAUUAUAAUUUUUUCUUCUCCAAAACUUACAACGUAUCAAAGCUUUUAAAUGAUGACCGAAAGUGCUCUAGGCGAAGAUUGAACCUUCAUUGAUUGAUUGAGCGCAAAGUUAUUGUUCCUGUAUCUAUUCUGUGCGAAGCUGCUUGCACCUUCCCACGUGACGAUGCUUCUCCUUUGAAGUCGUGUUGUUCCUUCAUUUCUUCCUCACGAAGCCGUUGUUCCCACGUGACGAUGUGUCUUUUCCUUUUGAAGCCAUUUGUGCAUGGAAGCAUCAUUCGAAGGAUCAUCUAAUUUCUCCAUCACUACGAAACUCGCAAUCGAAGCAGCUGAUUGUGUGACUCGUUCAAAGACACUGUCUUAUCCCUUUGAAGUCAUUGUUACGUACUUCAUAUUCGAAGAGGUUGUAUUCUCCUCGACAGAACUCAAUAGUGGAAGAGGAAGCUAACACUAGCUGGUCGUACAACUUCUCCGUAGAUGUUGUUGUUUCUUCAUAGCUAUAUGAACUUACAACAUGUUCUCGCAUGACAUUGUAUAAGUCAAUGAUGACGACUGAAGUCCAAGAAAUUCAGCACUUCUACUGGCUCCAGUAAUUCUGUAACCACUUCGUCUCACCCUACUGCCCCUUUCAUGACUGCAUCUUGAGCACUACUCACAAAAUCUAGCAACUUAACUCACGGUUAUUAAACUUACAACUAUCUCAAGUGGGCUCAAUCCAUAAAAUUGGCGAUAGGCAAAAGAGAGAAAAUUGAUCGAAGAAACUUCAAAGCCUAUUGCUGGCGAUCCAAACUAAAACGAUGACAGUCCAAAAAAUUCUCUGGUUAAGAUAUGGCUCAUCAACUCAUUGGAACUUAUGAUAGGAGAGCAACAUUUAUUCCUUCCAACUGCUUGAGAUAUUUGGGGUUGUUCAAGAUAUCUAUUCAAGCUAGGAGAAUUCUUGCCAAAUUUAUGAGUUGAAAACUCAACUUUUGAAAUCAAACAAAAUGACCGUGAUGUUACUACAUAUUACAACGAGUUGGUAGCAUUAUGACAGAAAUUUGAUCAAGGUUGUGAUGAUAUUUGGAAGAAUUUAAAUGAUUAUGUUCGCCACAGGGAGAGGAAAAUAACGGAGUCUACAUAUUCUUAGCCAACUUUAAUUGGAAUUUUGACGAGGUUCAAGGAGACAUACUUGGUAGAAAACCCCAACCCUCUAUUCGAGAAGUAUUUUAUGAAAUUAGAUGGGAAGGGUCAAGAAAAAAAAUUAUGUUGUGCAACAUUGAAUCUUCUUGUAACACUGAAUAGGAAAACUCAGCUUUUAUGUCAAAGGGGGUAGAUAUUGACAAAGAAGGGUGUAAGAAAACAUGAUGCAAGCAUUGCAAAAAAUCAUUACACACGAAAGAGAUAUUAAAAGCUUGAUGUUAAACCUGCAAAUUGGAAAUCAAAAUCUAAACGAGAAAGUUGAGCUUAUCAAGCAACUACUGAAGAAACUCAGGAGCCCCCUUGAAUGUAGUUCCUUGCGCCAAGGAACAAUUAGAGCCCUUGUACAAACUGUUUUAAUCUCCAAAAUUGUCUCUGGCUCCAUCGUGCUUCUUAGUGCAGAAAGGUACCACCCCACCAGCUUGGUCUGUUGGAUGGUCUAUUUGUUUGGUGGCCAUCAUCGCAUUGUUCAGAGGUAUUCAGUUUGGCCUUUCUUAGCUCACUGUUUGUUUCCCUUCUGCUCUCACCUCCCACUGCUGCUUCUUAAAUGGCUUUGUUUGAUCAACACCAUGCAUUAUUUUGGCUCUGGAUUUGAUUCAGAGAUUGUGAAAAAGUUCAAAUUGAGCUGAUUUGGAUUGAAUUCUGGCUUGAAUUUAGAUCAGAUUGGAGUUCAUGAGUUGGAUUUGUCUUGCUUUUGAUCUGAUUUGCUCGACUUGAGUUCAUCUUAAGCUUUGAUUAGAUCGGGUUGGGUUCGGAUUGUUAGUAAGGUGCAGCUUUUGAAUAUCUGUAGUUUUAGAUAUUUACAU